Molecule: long non-coding RNA, 761 nt
Organism: Triticum aestivum (bread wheat)
Lineage: Eukaryota; Viridiplantae; Streptophyta; Magnoliopsida; Poales; Poaceae
Exons: 4
Source: RefSeq, a predicted model, not a curated record
UUCUCUUCUCCCCUUCCGUCACAAAUCAAGCACCGCCGGUUGUGAUUCCGCUGCAUGCCAACCUCUUUCUCUCUGAAGGUCGUCGCCCCUCGUCCCUACCCCUUCCUCGCGCACCGACAGAUAUUGGCACCGGCACACCAUAGGCACUGCAAGGUGAGCCCAUGCGGCAUGGGACAAGAGGAAACAUGUGGCUACUCGGUUCCAUGGUGUAUAGGGAGAUUGAGCGACGGCGGUGAGCAGGGACUUGGGCUAGCGCCGAUGAGCAGGGAACAACAGCAGCGGCGCCUGCAAGCACCAUCCUCCAUUGACAAAUCUCCCUCUAUUGAAGGGAAGCCCCAUGGAUAAUUGGCUCUCUUCAAUGGGUCUACUACUGUGUUAUUACCGGCAAGACAUCAUUGCACCGUCCUCAUCCAAGAACUUCAUAUUUAAUCUCAUGUUCAUAUUUUGGAAACUAAUCAAGAACCGCCAGCUUUGUGUGCGCAGCAACACUCAGAUGAUCACAAUCUCACUUGGAUGCUUCUGCCCCAGAUUUGGAGCUUAACGCUGCAAAGAUGUUUUCUAUCCAGUGCAUCUCGAACUUAACUCACUCGCUUGUCCCUCCACGGCAGCCAACCUCUUGAUCCUUGCUUUUCUGGGUCUUGAAGUCUAUCGAGCAUAGAUAACAUGUUGUUGCAAGUUAUUUGCAGUAGCAGAUACUUAGCCUGACCAACAAUGCUUGUACAUGCUGAUUUAGGUAUUCUGCUAGCUGUAGAAAUUUUAGA